GAUGAACGCUGGCGGCGUGCCUAAUACAUGCAAGUCGAGCGAACAGACGAGGAGCUUGCUCCUCUGACGUUAGCGGCGGACGGGAGAUUCACACGUGUUUAACCUACCUAUAAGACUGGGAUAACUUCGGGAAACCGGAGCUAAUACCGGAUAAUAUAUUGAACCGCAUUGUUCAAUAGUGAAAGUCGGUUUUUCUGUCACUUAUAGAUGGAUCCGCACCGCAUUAGCUAGUUGGUAAGGUAGCGGAUUACCAAGGCAACGAUGCGUACCCGACCUGAGCGGGUGAACGGCCACACUGGAACUGAGACACAGUACAGACUCCUACGGUAGGACGCGGUAGGGAAUCUUCCGCGAUGGACGAGAGCGUGACGGAGCAACACCGCGUGAAUGAUGAAGGUCUUCGGAUCGUAAAACUCUGUUAUUCGGAAAGAACUAAUGUGUAAGUAACUAUGCACAUCUUGACGGUACCUAGUCAGAAAGCCACGGCUAACUACGUG
Molecule: ribosomal RNA, 497 nt
Filed under: uncultured bacterium
Lineage: Bacteria
Description: partial 16S ribosomal RNA
Rfam family: Bacterial small subunit ribosomal RNA
Source: RNAcentral